This 452-nucleotide ribosomal RNA is filed under the name uncultured bacterium. RNAcentral describes it as "bacterial SSU rRNA". It matches the Rfam family "Bacterial small subunit ribosomal RNA", at positions 29 to 526 of the family's 1533-position model. The record is from RNAcentral.
AACGAACGCUGGCGGCAGGCUUAACACAUGCAAGUCGAACGAUCUCUUCGGAGGUAGUGGCAGACGGGUGAGUAACACGUGGGAACGUACCUUUCAGUUCGGAAUAACUCAUGGAAACGUGAGCUAAUACCGGAUACGCCCCUUGGGGGAAAGAUUUAUCGCUGAAAGAUCGGCCCGCGUCUGAUUAGCUAGUUGGUGAGGUAAUGGCUCACCAAGGCGACGAUCAGUAGCUGGUCUGAGAGGAUGAUCAGCCACACUGGGACUGAGACACGGCCCAGACUCCUACGGGAGGCAGCAGUGGGGAAUAUUGGACAAUGGGCGCAAGCCUGAUCCAGCCAUGCCGCGUGAGUGAUGACGGCCUUAGGGUUGUAAAGCUCUUUCGACGGGGACGAUAAUGACGGUACCCGUAGAAGAAGCCCCGGCUAACUUCGUGCCAGCCGCCGCAGUAACAC